CUAUACAACAUGCUAGCUUUCU
Molecule: microRNA, 22 nt
Filed under: Cochliomyia macellaria (secondary screw-worm)
Lineage: Eukaryota; Metazoa; Arthropoda; Insecta; Diptera; Calliphoridae
Also listed under: 1 other name
Description: mature cma-let-7-3p
Source: RNAcentral